This 258-nucleotide ribosomal RNA is filed under the name uncultured bacterium. Its description in RNAcentral is "partial 16S ribosomal RNA". It matches the Rfam family "Bacterial small subunit ribosomal RNA", at positions 97 to 353 of the family's 1533-position model. The record is from RNAcentral.
GGCGGACGGGUGAGUAACGCGUGGGUAACCUGCCUCACACUGGGGGAGUAACAGUUAGAAAUAGCUGCUAAUACCGCAUAAGCGCACAGUUCCGCAUGGAACAGUGUGAAAAACUCCGGUGGUGUGAGAUGGACCCGCGUCUGAUUAGCCAGUUGGCGGGGUAACGGCCCACCAAAGCGACGAUCAGUAGCCGGCCUGAGAGGGUGAACGGCCACAUUGGGACUGAGACACGGCCCAAACUCCUACGGAGGCAGCAUG